CAUAUCAAUAAGCGGAGGAAAAGAAACUAACAAGGAUUCCCCUAGUAACUGCGAGUGAAGCGGGAAAAGCUCAAAUUUAAAAUCUGGCAGCCUUUGGUUGUCCGAGUUGUAAUCUAGAGAAGUGUUAUCCGCGCUGGACCGUGUACAAGUCUCCUGGAAUGGAGCGUCAUAGAGGGUGAGAAUCCCGUCUUUGACACGGACUGCCAGGGCUUUGUGAUGCGCUCUCAAAGAGUCGAGUUGUUUGGGAAUGCAGCUCAAAAUGGGUGGUAAAUUCCAUCUAAAGCUAAAUAUUGGCGAGAGACCGAUAGCGAACAAGUACCGUGAGGGAAAGAUGAAAAGAACUUUGGAAAGAGAGUUAAACAGUACGUGAAAUUGCUGAAAGGGAAACGCUUGAAGUCAGUCGCGUUGUCCAGGGAUCAACCUUGCUUUUGCUUGGUGCAUUUUCUGGUUGACGGGUCAGCAUCAAUUUUGACCAUUGGAAAAAGAUUAGGGGAAUGUGGCAUCUUUGGAUGUGUUAUAGCCCUUGGUUGCAUACAAUGGUUGGGAUUGAGGAACUCAGCACGCCGCAAGGCCGGGUUUUUAACCACGUACGUGCUUAGGAUGCUGGCAUAAUGGCUUUAAUCGACCCGUCUUGAAACACGGACCAAGGAGUCUAACAUGCCUGCGAGUGUUUGGGUGGAAAACCCGAGCGCGUAAUGAAAGUGAAAGUUGAGAUCCCUGUCGUGGGGAGCAUCGACGCCCGGACCAGACCUUUUGUGACGGCUCCGCGGUAGAGCAUGUAUGUUGGGACCCGAAAGAUGGUGAACUAUGCCUGAAUAGGGUGAAGCCAGAGGAAACUCUGGUGGAGGCUCGUAGCGAUUCUGACGUGCAAAUCGAUCGUCAAAUUUGGGUAUAGGGGCGAAAGACUAAUCGAACCAUCUAGUAGCUGGUUCCUGCC
This 937-nucleotide ribosomal RNA is filed under the name Cortinarius waiporianus. RNAcentral's name for it is "partial large subunit ribosomal RNA". It matches the Rfam family "Eukaryotic large subunit ribosomal RNA", at positions 39 to 962 of the family's 3401-position model. The record is from RNAcentral. Lineage: Eukaryota; Fungi; Basidiomycota; Agaricomycetes; Agaricales; Cortinariaceae.